This 453-nucleotide ribosomal RNA is filed under the name uncultured soil bacterium. Its description in RNAcentral is "bacterial SSU rRNA". It matches the Rfam family "Bacterial small subunit ribosomal RNA", at positions 26 to 518 of the family's 1533-position model. The record is from RNAcentral.
AGAGCGAACGCUGGCGGCAGGCCUAACACAUGCAAGUCGAACGGACCCUUCGGGGUUAGUGGCGGACGGGUGAGUAACGCGUGGGAACGUGCCUUUUGGUUCGGAAUAGCUCCUGGAAACGGGUGGUAAUGCCGAAUGUGCCCUUCGGGGGAAAGAUUUAUCGCCAUUAGAGCGGCCCGCGUCUGAUUAGCUAGUUGGUGAGGUAAUGGCUCACCAAGGCGACGAUCAGUAGCUGGUCUGAGAGGAUGACCAGCCACAUUGGGACUGAGACACGGCCCAAACUCCUACGGGAGGCAGCAGUGGGGAAUCUUGCGCAAUGGGCGAAAGCCUGACGCAGCCAUGCCGCGUGAAUGAUGAAGGCCUUAGGGUUGUAAAGCUCUUUUACCCGAGUAUGAUAAUGACAGUAGUACGGGAGAAUAACGCCCCGACUAACCGUCCGUGCCAGCAGCCGAC